GAAGCUGGCCAGACGGUCGCUGCGCGCCUUCGGCGCGGAGAGGAAAGUCCGGGCUCCAUAGAGCAGGGUGACGGCUAACGGCCGUACGUACUAGUCGAAGGCUUGCCUUCGGCGAAGACGAGGAAUAGGGCCACAGAGACGAGUCGCCGCUGCGCAAGUAGCGGCGGGUGAAACGCGGUAACCUCCACCCGGAGCAACACCAAAUAGGCGGACGAUGAUGCUGCCCGCUGAGUCCGCGGGUAGGUGGCUGGAGCCCUGGGGUAACCCAGGGCCUAGAGGAAUGACCGUCAUAGGGAGCAAUCCCCGUAACAGAACCCGGCUUAUCGGCCGGCUUCACUU
This 339-nucleotide RNase P RNA is filed under the name Burkholderiales bacterium. RNAcentral's name for it is "RNase P RNA component class A". It matches the Rfam family "Bacterial RNase P class A". From Rfam's summary of the family: Ribonuclease P (RNase P) is a ubiquitous endoribonuclease, found in archaea, bacteria and eukarya as well as chloroplasts and mitochondria. Its best characterised activity is the generation of mature 5'-ends of tRNAs by cleaving the 5'-leader elements of precursor-tRNAs. The record is from RNAcentral. Lineage: Bacteria; Pseudomonadati; Pseudomonadota; Betaproteobacteria; Burkholderiales.